UAGGGAAUAUUGGACAAUGGGAGAAAUCCUGAUCCAGCGACGCCGCGUGAGUGACGAAGGCCUUCGGGUCGUAAAGCUCUGUUGUACAAGAAAAAGGGUACACUACUAAUACCAGUGCACUUUGAUUGUACUGUAUAAGAAAGGACCGGCUAACUUCGUGCCAGCAGCCGCGGUAAGACGAGGGGUCCUAGCGUUGUUCGGAAUCACUGGGCGUAAAGCGUAUGUAGGCGGCUUUUCAAGUCAGGUGUGAAAUCCCAUGGCUUAACCAUGGAACUGCAUUUGAAACUGUAAAGCUUGAGUAUUGGAGAGGAUGGUAGAAUUCCUGGUGUAGUGGUGAAAUACGUAGAUAUCAGGAGGAAUACCGGUGGCGAAGGCGGCCAUCUGGCCAAAUACUGACGCUGAGAUACGAAAGUGUGGGGAUCAAACAGGAUUAGAUACCCCCGUAGUCC
Molecule: ribosomal RNA, 449 nt
Filed under: uncultured bacterium
Lineage: Bacteria
Description: bacterial SSU rRNA
Rfam family: Bacterial small subunit ribosomal RNA
Source: RNAcentral